This 424-nucleotide long non-coding RNA is filed under the name Mytilus galloprovincialis (Mediterranean mussel). Lineage: Eukaryota; Metazoa; Mollusca; Bivalvia; Mytilida; Mytilidae. The record is from RNAcentral.
GGAUAUUUGAUGUUGGUUACAGAAACAAACGUUUUAAUUGAUACAGAGAUGGGGGCCAUUUAAUGAUAUAAUAAAUGAAAUUGAAAACUGAAAUGGUGAAUGUGUCAAAGAGACAACAACUCUACCAAUGAGAGGAAAACAACCGGUGUCAACCAGUUGGUCUUCAACACAUCGAGAAAAUCUUGUUACUUGAGGCUAGCCUAAAAACACAAAUGCGAAAUAGUUCAGUGAAAAUUGAUGUCAUACAUUGUACAUGUACUAAUGUUGUUUUUUUUUUCCUUUUGAGCCAUAACAGUGUCGGUUUAUUUUCGUCUGAUGAAAUUGACCUGCCCUCUGGUAUCUCUCGUGUAAACUCCGAAAUAUUUUUAUUAACUAAAAUUUAAAACAAAACGUACAAGACCAACAAAGGCUAGAGGCCCAUAAC